Molecule: long non-coding RNA, 1799 nt
Organism: Esox lucius (northern pike)
Lineage: Eukaryota; Metazoa; Chordata; Actinopteri; Esociformes; Esocidae
Source: Ensembl
CCUGUUUGUUAGGGAACAACAAUAACAUGACGAUGUAUGGAAACACAUAACCUGUUUGUUAGGGAACAACAAUAACAUGACGAUGUAUGGAAACACAUAACCUGUUUGUUAGGGAACAACAAUAACUCUAGUCAGUCUAAAAUCUUAAGUUUCUCCUGGUGAGUCGACUAACAAUUCAAGCAUUCAACCAUUCUGGAGUGUAGCUUAAUAGCUUAAUUCUGGAAUGUAGGUUUAGACUCCAAACAUCUGGAAUGUAGUUUAAGACUCCAAACAUUCUGGAAUGUUGGUAAAGACCCCAAACAUUCUGGAAUGUAGGUUAAGACACCAAACAUUCUGGAAUGUAGGUUAAGACUCCAAACAUUCUGGAAUGUAGGUUAUGACUCCAGACAUUCUGGAAAGUAGGUUAUGACUCCAAACAUUCUGGAAUGUAGGUAAAGACUUCAACCAUUCUGGAAUGUAGGUUAAGACUCCAAACAUUCUGGAAUGUAGGUUAAGACUCCAAACAUUCUGGAAUGUAGGUUAAGACUCCAAACAUUCUGGAAUGUAGGUUAAGACCCCAAACAUUCUGGAAUGUAGGUUUAGACUCCAACCAUUCUGGAAUGUAGUGUAAGAAUACAACCAUUUUGGAAUGUAAGUUAAGGCUACAAACAUUCUGUGUUCUGAAGUGUAGGUUAAAACUACAACCAUUUUGGAAUGUAAGUUAAGGCUUCACACAUUCGGUAUUCUGGAGUCCAAGUUAAGGUUACAACCAUAAAGCCUAUAGUGAAUUUCAGCCGUUACUAUGAAGAGUAGCUGGGUCAGUGCCAGUAGAAUGUCAGACUCACUGAUCAUCAUGUGUAUUAUAGACCUUCCUUCCUGUCUGUAUGCAAAUGAUUCUCCUUUGUUUUGGGUUAGACAGUCAUCCUGUUUUAAAUUUUGAAUAAACAACAGCCAAGCUUUUACAUCACAGCAAACCAACAAACAAACGGAUAAACAAAUAGUUCAAAGCAGGGAUUGGUUCCUCAGGACCAAUAGAAUCAUCUCCACUGGACCUGCUGACUCAGGGGGCUUUCGGCAGGGCAGUGGUCCACGGUCUGAAGUAGUGCAACAAGUAGGGAUUAGGGUGCCAGUUGUGCCGUGACCACGACAUGUCCUCACCAAACUCCGGCCGUCUCCAAACCACAAUGCAUUAUGGUACACUGUUAUCUCCAGGGAUGCAACCAGAUUGUUUCUUAAUUUUUAUGUGAGAUGAUAUGUUCCCAUGUGUUAUGGUCUCAUGUGAGAUCAUACUGUCUGUUCUUAUUAAAGAUGCAUUCUGUGAUUUUUGACCACCAGUUUUAGUAGCCAUGUCGGGCCAUGUUGGGCCAGGAAAUUGUAUUCCAUGUCAUGUAUGUGCCAAUUUGUGCCCCAUUUCAACAAAACCACGUGCUUUCAAACAUGGAAUUUCAUGGCCAACUGAGGUAUUAUAGCGAUUCUACUUACAGAUUAUGCACAUAUAAACAACAUAUUACUCAUUCAGUCCAAAACGGGAGAUAUAGAAAAAUUACUUAUUAAUUGCCAAAGUCCCAGUCUGCAUCUUUAAGUGUAACGGUCACAUGAUGAUGUGGUCUUCUUCAGUUUCAUAGUCAGGUGUAAUGGUCACAUGAUGAUGUGGUCCUCUUCAGUUUCAUUGUCAGGUGUAAUGGUCACAUGAUGAUGUGGACUUCUUCAGUUUCAUAGUCAGGUGUAAUGGUCACAUGAUGAUGUGGACUUCUUCAGUUUCAUAGUCAGGUGUAAUGGUCACAUGAUGAUGUGGUCCUCUUCAGUUUCAUAGUCAGGUG